Molecule: non-coding RNA, 401 nt
Organism: Danio rerio (zebrafish)
Lineage: Eukaryota; Metazoa; Chordata; Actinopteri; Cypriniformes; Danionidae
Source: Ensembl
GAAGGAGUUCCUCAGACAGGAAGUGGAGACCAGUACUUUAGGAAGCCCUGCUGCUGCUGUUGCUGAGUGUCUAGAGCACCUGCAGUCCAGAUACUGGAUCUCUGCUCACCUGCACUCGACUCAACUCUGAUGCAGCACCAGAUUGUGGAGGAAUCUUCUAGGAGAAGCUUGAGUUUGAUCCAAAAUGGCUGGCCAUCCUGAAUUGGACAGACAAACCUUCAGAAACCAACCCACAGUUGCUGGAACCCCUUCGCUGGACAACAGACAACACAGCAGAUACAAAACACAUGACAAUGAUCACAGUUGCUCAUUUUCUGAAAGCUUUCUGAUACCACAUAUUCGUUUCUAUUUCUAAAUGUUUUAGCAUCCUGUUCCUCUGCUUCUUUCAGGUGGGAUUUCAG